This 555-nucleotide ribosomal RNA is filed under the name Klebsiella pneumoniae. RNAcentral describes it as "partial 23S ribosomal RNA". It matches the Rfam family "Bacterial large subunit ribosomal RNA", at positions 2269 to 2823 of the family's 2925-position model. Lineage: Bacteria; Pseudomonadati; Pseudomonadota; Gammaproteobacteria; Enterobacterales; Enterobacteriaceae. The record is from RNAcentral. RNAcentral also lists the same sequence under 2 other names.
UUUGACUGGGGCGGUCUCCUCCCAAAGCGUAACGGAGGAGCACGAAGGUUAGCUAAUCCUGGUCGGACAUCAGGAGGUUAGUGCAAUGGCAUAAGCUAGCUUGACUGCGAGCGUGACGGCGCGAGCAGGUGCGAAAGCAGGUCAUAGUGAUCCGGUGGUUCUGAAUGGAAGGGCCAUCGCUCAACGGAUAAAAGGUACUCCGGGGAUAACAGGCUGAUACCGCCCAAGAGUUCAUAUCGACGGCGGUGUUUGGCACCUCGAUGUCGGCUCAUCACAUCCUGGGGCUGAAGUAGGUCCCAAGGGUAUGGCUGUUCGCCAUUUAAAGUGGUACGCGAGCUGGGUUUAGAACGUCGUGAGACAGUUCGGUCCCUAUCUGCCGUGGGCGCUGGAGAAUUGAGGGGGGCUGCUCCUAGUACGAGAGGACCGGAGUGGACGCAUCACUGGUGUUCGGGUUGUCAUGCCAAUGGCACUGCCCGGUAGCUAAAUGCGGAAGAGAUAAGUGCUGAAAGCAUCUAAGCACGAAACUUGCCCCGAGAUGAGUUCUCCCUGAGACUU